Molecule: ribosomal RNA, 460 nt
Filed under: uncultured bacterium
Lineage: Bacteria
Description: partial 16S ribosomal RNA
Rfam family: Bacterial small subunit ribosomal RNA
Source: RNAcentral
CCUACGGGAGGCUGCAGUGAGGAAUAUUGGUCAAUGGGCGCGAGCCUGAACCAGCCAAGUAGCGUGAAGGAUGACUGCCCUACGGGUUGUAAACUUCUUUUAGAAAGGAAUAAAGUGAGGCACGUGUGCCUUGUUGUAUGUACUUUAUGAAUAAGGAUAGGCUCACUCCGCGCCAGCAGCCGCGGUAAUACGGAGGAUGCGAGCGUUAUCCGGAUUUAUUGGGUUUAAAGGGAGCGUAGAUGGGCUGUUAAGUCAGCUGUGAAAGUUUGCGGCUCAACCGUAAAAUUGCAAUUUAUACUGGCAGCCUUGAGUACAGGUGAGGUAGGCGGAAUUCAUGGUGUAGCGGUGAAAUGCUUAGAUAUCACGAAGAACUCCGAUCGCGAAGGCAGCUUACUAAACUGCCACUGACAUUGAUGCUCGAAAGUGUGGGUAUCAAACAGGAUUAGAUACCCGAGUAGUC